RNAcentral lists this unclassified non-coding RNA (153 nucleotides) under uncultured Talaromyces. RNAcentral describes it as "sequence contains ITS2". The record is from RNAcentral. Lineage: Eukaryota; Fungi; Ascomycota; Eurotiomycetes; Eurotiales; Trichocomaceae.
AUGCCCUCAAGCACGGCUUGUGUGUUGGGUGUGGUCCUCCCGGGGACCUGCCCGAAAGGCAGCGGCGACGUCCGUCUGGUCCUCGAGCGUAUGGGGCUCUGUCACUCGCUCGGGAAGGACCUGCGGGGGUUGGUCACCACCACAUUUUACCAC